CCUACGGGAGGCAGCAGUGAGGAAUAUUGGUCAAUGGGCGAGAGCCUGAACCAGCCAAGUCGCGUGAGGGAGUACUGCCCUAUGGGUUGUAAACCUCUUUUGUCGGGGAGCAAAAGCCGGACGUGUCCGGCUGUGAGAGUACCCGAAGAAAAAGCAUCGGCUAACUCCGUGCCAGCAGCCGCGGUAAUACGGAGGAUGCGAGCGUUAUCCGGAUUUAUUGGGUUUAAAGGGUGCGCAGGCGGAUUUUUAAGUCAGCGGUAAAAUCGUGGGGUUCAACCCCAUCCAGCCGUUGAAACUGGGGAUCUAGAGUGUGCGAGAGGUAUGCGGAAUGCGUGGUGUAGCGGUGAAAUGCAUAGAUAUCACGCAGAACCCCGAUUGCGAAGGCAGCAUACCGGUGCACAACUGACGCUCAGGCACGAAAGCGUGGGUAUCGAACAGGAUUAGAUACCCGGGUAGUC
This 458-nucleotide ribosomal RNA is filed under the name uncultured bacterium. RNAcentral describes it as "partial 16S ribosomal RNA". It matches the Rfam family "Bacterial small subunit ribosomal RNA", at positions 338 to 795 of the family's 1533-position model. The record is from RNAcentral.